GUGCUCACUUCAGCAGCACACAUACUAAAAUUAGAACAACACAGAGAAGACUAGCAUGGCCCCUAUGCAAGGGUGACAUGCAAAUUUGUGAAGCAGUCAAUAUUUUU
Peromyscus eremicus (cactus mouse) is the source of this 107-nucleotide small nuclear RNA. The record is from RefSeq and is a predicted model, not a curated record. Lineage: Eukaryota; Metazoa; Chordata; Mammalia; Rodentia; Cricetidae.